This 303-nucleotide long non-coding RNA is filed under the name Ananas comosus (pineapple). RNAcentral describes it as "long non-coding RNA (ACOM_LNC038832)". Lineage: Eukaryota; Viridiplantae; Streptophyta; Magnoliopsida; Poales; Bromeliaceae. The record is from RNAcentral.
CCCCUACCUUUUAUCGCGUUCCGAUUGCUCGUAGUCACUUGCAACCGGCCUCCCGCGGCACACGCCGCCCAGUUCGGCUCAAACUCUCACUCGACCACUAAACGACCACCAAACCACAAUCUGAAAAUUAAAGGUCUAUAACCUGAUGCCAUGAUGCUCCGGAUCCGAUCUCUUAAUUUUUGGACGUCGCAUCGGCCCUCCAGGCGGAAACGAAGCUCUAACAGUCCAUUUCCUCAAUAUCUUCGCAUAGGCUCGACGAAUCGCCGAACUGACUUCGCCAACGCGUUCGUAUACCUACCAAUU